This 448-nucleotide ribosomal RNA is filed under the name uncultured Christensenellaceae bacterium. Its description in RNAcentral is "bacterial SSU rRNA". It matches the Rfam family "Bacterial small subunit ribosomal RNA", at positions 335 to 799 of the family's 1533-position model. The record is from RNAcentral. Lineage: Bacteria; Bacillati; Bacillota; Clostridia; Christensenellales; Christensenellaceae.
UGCCUACGGGCGGCAGCAGUGGGGAAUAUUGGGCAAUGGGCGAAAGCCUGACCCAGCAACGCCGCGUGAGGGAAGAAGGUCUUCGGAUUGUAAACCUCUGUCCUUGGGGACGAAGGAAGUGACGGUACCCAAGGAGGAAGCUCCGGCUAACUACGUGCCAGCAGCCGCGGUAAUACGUAGGGAGCGAGCGUUGUCCGGAAUUACUGGGCGUAAAGGGUGCGUAGGCGGCAAGGCAAGUCAGAUGUGAAAUCCCCGGGCUUAACUCGGGUGCUGCAUUUGAAACUGCCGUGCUUGAGUGCAGGAGAGGAAAGCGGAAUUCCUAGUGUAGCGGUGAAAUGCGUAGAUAUUAGGAGGAACACCAGUGGCGAAGGCGGCUUUCUGGACUGUAACUGACGCUGAGGCACGAAAGCGUGGGGAGCAAACAGGAUUAGAUACCCCUGUAGUCCCG